UGGGGAAUAUUGCACAAUGGGCGCAAGCCUGAUGCAGCCAUGCCGCGUGUGUGAAGAAGGCCUUCGGGUUGUAAAGCACUUUCAGCGAGGAGGAAGGCAGUCGUGUUAAUAGCACGAUUGAUUGACGUUACUCGCAGAAGAAGCACCGGCUAACUCCGUGCCAGCAGCCGCGGUAAUACGGAGGGUGCAAGCGUUAAUCGGAAUUACUGGGCGUAAAGCGCACGCAGGCGGUUUGUUAAGUCAGAUGUGAAAUCCCCGCGCUUAACGUGGGAACUGCAUUUGAAACUGGCAAGCUAGAGUCUUGUAGAGGGGGGUAGAAUUCCAGGUGUAGCGGUGAAAUGCGUAGAGAUCUGGAGGAAUACCGGUGGCGAAGGCGGCCCCCUGGACAAAGACUGACGCUCAGGUGCGAAAGCGUGGGGAGCAAAACAGGAUUAGAUACCCUGGUAGUCCACGCUGUAAACGAUGUCGACUUGGAGGUUGUGCCCUUGAGGCGUGGCUUCCGGAGCUAACGCGUUAAGUCGA
Molecule: ribosomal RNA, 522 nt
Filed under: uncultured bacterium
Lineage: Bacteria
Description: partial 16S ribosomal RNA
Rfam family: Bacterial small subunit ribosomal RNA
Source: RNAcentral